Molecule: ribosomal RNA, 253 nt
Filed under: uncultured bacterium
Lineage: Bacteria
Description: partial 16S ribosomal RNA
Rfam family: Bacterial small subunit ribosomal RNA
Source: RNAcentral
UGCGUAGGGUGCAAGCGUUGUCCGGAAUUAUUGGGCGUAAAGAGCUCGUAGGCGGUUUGUCGCGUCGAAUGUGAAAACCCGGGGCUCAACCCCGGGCCUGCAUUCGAUACGGGCAGACUAGAGUUCGGUAGGGGAGUCUGGAAUUCCUGGUGUAGCGGUGAAAUGCGCAGAUAUCAGGAGGAACACCGGUGGCGAAGGCGGGUCUCUGGGCCGAUACUGACGCUGAGGAGCGAAAGCGUGGGGAGCAAACAGG